CCUACGGGUGGCAGCAGUGAGGAAUAUUGGUCAAUGGGCGCGAGCCUGAACCAGCCAAGUAGCGUGAAGGAUGACUGCCCUACGGGUUGUAAACUUCUUUUAUAAAGGAAUAAAGUGAUGCACGUGUGCCUUUUUGUAUGUACUUUAUGAUUAAGGCUCGGCUAACUCCGUGCCAGCAGCCGCGGUAAUACGGAGGGUCCGAGCGUUAUCCGGAUUUAUUGGGUUUAAAGGGAGCGUAGAUGGGUUGUUAAGUCAGGUGUGAAAGUUUGCGGCUCAACCGUAAAAUUGCAAUUGAUACUGGCAGUCUGGAGUACAGUUGAGGUAGGCGGAAUUCGUGGUGUAGCGGUGAAAUGCUUAGAUAUCACGAAGAACUCCGAUGGCGAAGGCAGCUUACUAAACUGCCACUGACAUUGAUGCUCGAAAGUGUGGGUAGCAAACAGGAUUAGAUACCCUUGUAGUC
This 460-nucleotide ribosomal RNA is filed under the name uncultured bacterium. Its description in RNAcentral is "partial 16S ribosomal RNA". It matches the Rfam family "Bacterial small subunit ribosomal RNA", at positions 338 to 795 of the family's 1533-position model. The record is from RNAcentral.